GGAGUGUCCAAACAAACGUUUACCGGGUAUUAUGAUGGCGGGGGAAAGAGAAUUUCACUUUAUAUCAUAUUGUAUGUAUAUACCGAUCGCGUGUUUACGAACCCUAUCUGAGUUCGAGAGUUUAAGUCGAAACCGAACCGAGUUGGUUUUAAGGGUUAUACAAAACAUAACGGUAUCUAUAACUCGUCGGUUCAAACACGAUACCACUCCAAAGUAGUUAUAGUUAUCCAAGUGUAUAAACCUAAACCCUAAUACAUGUAGUCAAUGAAAAACCACCACGGGUUUGGACAAAUAAGAUGGUAAAAUCUUAACCCACCCGUUAAUCCAAACCUGAUAUCGAUCCAAAGAAGUUAUCUUAAUUUAGUUCAAAUGUAAACCCAAAAUAAAGUGUCCUAUUAUAUAAUAGUUGAUGAGGAACCAUGACGGAUCGCGUAUUUACCUAUCGUUUGGGCAGAAAUCGGAUAGGAUCUGUAAAUACUCGUACGGCGUACCGACUAUAUUAGCUAUUAUUACAUUGCACCCAUUGUCCGACGGGUAUACUCCGACGUACAAAAACCGAACCGCGGUAAUAACCAAACAGUCGGUACAAUAAUUUCGUAUCAACUUUAUAA
Non-coding RNA from Cinara cedri, 611 nucleotides. NCBI's taxonomy places the organism in Eukaryota, Metazoa, Arthropoda, Insecta, Hemiptera, Aphididae. The record is from the annotation of a GenBank genome assembly.